RNA transcript from Protopterus annectens (West African lungfish), 3750 nucleotides. It is a transcript of the gene named mannosyl-oligosaccharide glucosidase, with no coding region annotated. Lineage: Eukaryota; Metazoa; Chordata; Ceratodontiformes; Protopteridae. The transcript is spliced from 6 exons. The record is from RefSeq and is a predicted model, not a curated record.
CACCGGGAAAGAGUUUUAAAUAUAAAAUGACAUCUAAUUGCCUAAAAAACAGCCCCAAAACAUCAAAAUAGUGGCCGACGAAGAGGAAUACAUUACAUGGACACAAGAAAGGCAUAUGUUGACGUUUUGCUGUAUUUAUAAAAAAAAGAACAAAAAUGGCAAAAAAGAAACCCAAGUCUAGCCAAAGCAGGACCAGUACCAGUAAAAAGGAUGAGAAAAUAGAUGACCUGUCCAGUUCCUCUGGUAGUGAAAAACAUGGGAAAUCCAUUGACCAGUUUCAUGUUAAGACUUCUAGGAGCACUGAAAGAGAGGAAAGUUACUCCAGCCAUAUCAAAAAGGACAAAAAAGGAAAACCUGGACUGAGUAAAAUAUGUGUUGCGAUUACCAGCAUCCUUGUCAUAUUUGUUGCUUUAUUUGCUUAUAAUGUCUUUAACAAGUGGCAGCUAACCAACCGAGUUGUGACUCCACACCCAGCUCCAUGGAUUCUUGACCUGAACAGCACGAGCCCCAGUGUUUCACCUGAAAAAUUCUGGGGUUCUUACAGGCCUCAAGUGUACUUUGGAAUGAAAACACGAAGCCCAAAGUCUAUUGUUACAGGACUGAUGUGGAUGCAUCAGUUUGGCAUUGAAGGACAGCUACGGCACAACUGCGAACAGGGUGACGGGCUUCCCCGUUAUGGCUGGCUCAUGCAUGAUGGAGUACACUUUGGGGUGCAAGAGAUAGUUGACUUUGGUUUCUCACUAACAACUGAAUUUUUGAAAAGGCCGGGUGGCCUUCAUGGUGGAGACUGGACAUGGAGAAUCACAGCAAAACAGAGUGAAGCUCCUGUGAUCUCCUUGCUGUUUUAUGUGGCCACUGAUGGACAAGGUAUUCUCCAGCCUCAUGUAGAAGGACAAGGUAGGCUGGCAUAUAUAACAGGAUUCUCUGAAGAACUGGGAGAGUUUAAAGUUAUAUUCCAGAAACCAACUGACAGAGGAAGUAAAGUCCCCAAGUAUGCCAGUUAUAACUAUCUGAAGGCUCAAAGUCCUGGCUUGCACAAGUUGACAGACAUUGUCAAAAGCAGUCUGAGUGGACACUUUGUAUACAGUCCACCAUCUGGCGAGUCCCAGCAUUAUUUUGCUGUUCACACUUACAGACCCCCACCCCAGAAUCAGAUGGAAGAAGGUGGCAAAGAGCAGAGCCAUUUCCUUGUCCACCAAGUCACCUUGCAGGUACCUUUUCAGAUUGAGAUACGAUUUGAAUCUGGUAGCUUCAUUACUCGUCCCAGCCUACUGAUGGGAGAGGUAUUCACUGAGGAAAUGGAAAAACAGAAGGCACUGUUUAAUGAAAGGUUUGAAAAAACAUUCCCACUUCAGGAGAAGGGCUACACACAACAGCAAAUAGUAUUUGCUAAGGCAGCUCUUAGUAACAUGCUGGGUGGUAUGGGCUUCUUCUUUGGCACAUCAGUUGUCCAAUCAAAAUACAAUCCACAUCCUGUAGCUUAUUGGGAAACCCCACUCUAUACAGCUGUUCCAUCCCGAUCAUUCUUUCCACGGGGUUUCCUCUGGGAUGAAGGUUUCCAUCAGCUGCUGAUAAGCAAAUGGGAUCGCGAAAUCUCCAAAGAUGUAAUAGCCCACUGGCUAGAUUUAAUGAAUGUUGAAGGCUGGAUCCCAAGAGAAGUAAUACUGGAUGCAGAAGCUCGCAGCAGAGUCCCACCUGAGUUUAUAGUGCAAAGAAAUGAGAAUGCCAACCCUCCUACGCUGUUCCUGGCUUUACAGAAGAUAAUAGGGAAUCAUAAUCAGGGUGUCACAGAAGCAGACAAAUCAUAUCUCAGAAAGAUCUUCCCAAGGCUAAAAACUUGGUUCAGUUGGUAUAACACCACACAGACGGGUACCUUGCCAUUUACAUAUCGCUGGAGAGGACGGGAUAUAGACACAAACCUUUUCCUGAACCCUAAAACUUUAACAUCAGGGUUGGAUGACUACCCAAGGGCAUCUCAUCCUUCUGAUGAUGAGCGCCAUGUGGAUCUUCGCUGUUGGAUGGCCCUAGCUUCUAGAAUCAUGAGUGAUGUAGCCAUGUUACUAGGAGAGCCUCAUGAAGAGUAUGAAACUUUGCAUGCCGUACUUAGUAACAUUUCAUUGCUAGAGGAGCUCCACUGGUCUGAAGACUUGAAGAUCUUUGCAGAUUAUGGGAAUCACACACCAGCUGUUGUUUUGGAGAGGGAGAAAAUCUUUAUUCAGCCUGGUCAACAAAAAGCUUUCCACCCAUCUCCAAGGCUGGUUCGUGUUGUACGCAGGCAACCAAAGCUUCAGUAUGUCGGGGCUUUUGGUUAUGUCAGUCUUUUUCCUUUCCUACUUCAGCUUCUUCCACCAGACUCACCCAAACUAGAAAAGACUUUCAGAGACAUGCGUAUGGAGAAAAAGCUUUGGACACCUUAUGGCCUGCGAUCACUUUCCAAAUCUAGCCCACUAUACAUGAAACAUAACACAGAGCAUGAUGGGCCGUACUGGCGUGGGGCCAUUUGGAUAAACAUCAACUACUUGGCUGUUCGAGCAUUGUACCAUUAUUCAAAGAUUGAGGGACCAUACAAGCAAAUGGCAGCCUCACUGUACCAGGAGUUGAGGACUAAUGUGAUAACAAAUGUUUAUAGACAGUACAUGACAACAGGCUACAUUUAUGAGCAGUACAAUGACAGCACUGGUGAAGGACAGAGUUCUUUCCCUUUUACAGGUUGGUCUGCGUUGGUGGUUCUUAUGAUGGCGGAAGAAUACUAAAAAUCAGCAGCUGACUGUCACUGGCCUAAUAUGAGAAUAUGUGCGGGCAUUUAGAACUUGAUGAAUAUGGACCUUUUUCUACCUGUUCAAAGUGAAAGAAUCAUAAUGCAGGGCAGAUUGGGCUGCCAGGAGGAGGAAAUGGACCACAGGGUUUGCAAUGUCAUGGUGAAUCACUUUGGAGACAGCAAGCAGGAUUUAAACAUGUUGGUACAGCUGCACGUUUUGUUUUUUUGCAACAGUUCAUAAUGGUUGCUGUUCACUUUCAACACAAACCCAUCUAGAAAUGUACUAAAACAUUUCAAAUUAGAAAUAACUCAAUUUCAGUGCCAUUUACACCCUUGUGUUGCUAACUUUUUUUCACAAGAAAUAUAAUAAACAUCAAGUACUGUGACAUUUGACUGCUUACUGAAUACUGAGGCCAUAAAGUGGUACACAGAGGUAAAUUCACUUUAUUGCAUAUGAAAAGUUUUUGUAAUAGGAAUAUGGCUUAUGUGUACUAGACAAACAUGUUUCUCUUACCUUCAGGUUACAGUGUGUCCUUUUAGAAUGGUAGGAAGUACAUUAAAAGACUGUAAGUGUACAUUAAAACAACAUAUUUCAGGCUCAUGCUAAGUGGUUGAAAAUACUGAAGUCAAAGCAAGGAUAGAAAUGUAACAAACAUUUUCUUAAAAUGAAGAAAAUUGAGAUGUUCACCAUACUUGUAGACUGUUUUCUUAACUUGUGAACCAAUGGUGCUGCUUAAAUGUCACAAAGCCACCACAAACACACACAAACCUUGUUGAGAGAAGUCAGUGAAAUUUAUUAACUGACAAUAGUAAGGUGUAGCAUUGUUAAUGUGUAAUAUAUUUGUUUACAAAAAUUGAGAGUAUGACUAAUUUUUGAAAAAGUGCAUAUAUUAUGGGUAUGUAGGAGCAUCUUUUUGUACACUCUAACUUCUAACUACUAAGUAUGUUAUUGUGUCUGGUUGAGGUAUUUACAUUUCUUUGAAAAAUUUAUU